Molecule: ribosomal RNA, 397 nt
Filed under: uncultured bacterium
Lineage: Bacteria
Description: bacterial SSU rRNA
Rfam family: Bacterial small subunit ribosomal RNA
Source: RNAcentral
AAUCAACGCUGGCGGCGUGCCUCAGACAUGCAAGUCGAACGAUUAAAGCUCUCUUCGGAGAGUGUAUAGAGUGGCGCACGGGUGAGUAACACGUAAGUAAUCUACCUUUGAGUGGGGAAUAACAAUCGGAAACGAUUGCUAAUACCGCAUAAUGCAGCGGCAUCGCAAGAUGACAGUUGUUAAAGGAGCAAUCCGCUUAAAGAGGAGCUUGCGGCAGAUUAGCUAGUUGGUAAGGUAAUGGCUUACCGAGGCUACGAUCUGUAACCGGUCUAAGAGGACGGUCGGUCACACUGACACUGAAUAACGGGUCAGACUCCUACGGGAGGCAGCAGUCGGGAAUUUUGGGCAAUGGGCGAAAGCCUGACCCAGCAACGCCGCGUGAAGGAUGACGGCCUGG